AUUGAACGCUGGCGGCAGGCCUAACACAUGCAAGUCGAGCGGUAGCACAGAGAGCUUGCUCUCGGGUGACGAGCGGCGGACGGGUGAGUAAUGUCUGGGAAACUGCCUGAUGGAGGGGGAUAACUACUGGAAACGGUAGCUAAUACCGCAUAACGUCGCAAGACCAAAGUGGGGGACCUUCGGGCCUCAUGCCAUCAGAUGUGCCCAGAUGGGAUUAGCUAGUAGGUGGGGUAACGGCUCACCUAGGCGACGAUCCCUAGCUGGUCUGAGAGGAUGACCAGCCGCAAGGGAACUGAAACACGAUCCAGACUCCUACGGGAGGCAGCAGUGGGGAAUAUUGCACAAUGGGCGCAAGCCUGAUGCAGCCAUGCCGCGUGUGUGAAGAAGGCCUUCGGGUUGUAAAGCACUUUCAGCGGGGAGGAAGGCGAUAAGGUUAAUAACCUUGUCGAUUGACGUUACCCGCAGAAGAAGCACCGGCUAACUCCGUGCCAGCCGCCGCCGUAA
Molecule: ribosomal RNA, 504 nt
Filed under: uncultured bacterium
Lineage: Bacteria
Description: partial 16S ribosomal RNA
Rfam family: Bacterial small subunit ribosomal RNA
Source: RNAcentral